UACGUAGGGGGCAAGCGUUGUCCGGAUUUAUUGGGCGUAAAGAGCGUGUAGGCGGCCAGGUAGGUCUGCUGUGAAAACUCGAGGCUUAACCUCGAGAUGUCAUCGGAAACCAUUUGGCUAGAGUCCGGAAGAGGAAAGUGGAAUUCCUGGUGUAGCGGUGAAAUGCGCAGAUAUCAGGAAGAACACCCGUGGCGAAGGCGGUUCUCUGGGACGGUACUGACGCUGAGACGCGAAAGCGUGGGGAGCGAACAGG
This 253-nucleotide ribosomal RNA is filed under the name uncultured bacterium. RNAcentral describes it as "partial 16S ribosomal RNA". It matches the Rfam family "Bacterial small subunit ribosomal RNA", at positions 524 to 776 of the family's 1533-position model. The record is from RNAcentral.